This 918-nucleotide ribosomal RNA is filed under the name uncultured bacterium. RNAcentral describes it as "bacterial SSU rRNA". It matches the Rfam family "Bacterial small subunit ribosomal RNA", at positions 9 to 905 of the family's 1533-position model. The record is from RNAcentral.
GAGUUUGAUCAUGGCUCACAUUUAACGCUGGCGGCAGGCCUAACACAUGCAAGUCGAGCGGAAACGAGUUAUCUGAACCUUCGGGGAACGAUAACGGCGUCGAGCGGCGGACGGGUGAGUAAUGCCUAGGAAAUUGCCCUGAUGUGGGGGAUAACCAUUGGAAACGAUGGCUAAUACCGCAUAAUACCUACGGGUCAAAGAGGGGGACCUUCGGGCCUCUCGCGUCAGGAUAUGCCUAGGUGGGAUUAGCUAGUUGGUGAGGUAAUGGCUCACCAAGGCGACGAUCCCUAGCUGGUCUGAGAGGAUGAUCAGCCACACUGGAACUGAGACACGGUCCAGACUCCUACGGGAGGCAGCAGUGGGGAAUAUUGCACAAUGGGCGCAAGCCUGAUGCAGCCAUGCCGCGUGUGUGAAGAAGGCCUUCGGGUUGUAAAGCACUUUCAGUCGUGAGGAAGGUGGUAGUGUUAAUAGCACUAUCAUUUGACGUUAGCGACAGAAGAAGCACCGGCUAACUCCGUGCCAGCAGCCGCGGUAAUACGGAGGGUGCGAGCGUUAAUCGGAAUUACUGGGCGUAAAGCGCAUGCAGGUGGUUUGUUAAGUCAGAUGUGAAAGCCCGGGGCUCAACCUCGGAAUAGCAUUUGAAACUGGCAGACUAGAGUACUGUAGAGGGGGGUAGAAUUUCAGGUGUAGCGGUGAAAUGCGUAGAGAUCUGAAGGAAUACCGGUGGCGAAGGCGGCCCCCUGGACAGAUACUGACACUCAGAUGCGAAAGCGUGGGGAGCAAACAGGAUUAAAUACCCUGGUAGUCCACGCCGUAAACGAUGUCUACUUGGAGGUUGUGGCCUUGAGCCGUGGCUUUCGGAGCUAACGCGUUAAGUAGACCGCCUGGGGAGUACNGUCNCCAGAAUUAAAACUCNAA